Molecule: long non-coding RNA, 259 nt
Filed under: Elaeis guineensis (African oil palm)
Lineage: Eukaryota; Viridiplantae; Streptophyta; Magnoliopsida; Arecales; Arecaceae
Description: long non-coding RNA (EGUI_LNC026132)
Source: RNAcentral
CCCGGCUCACGGCACCUCUAACUCGAUCAGAGGAUAGAGAGCUAGUGCACAUUCAGAACCGCACGUAAGUAUUAGAUUUUCGACCAAUAUUUUUAAAAAUUUUUAUCAUUUUAGAAUCAAUAUUUAUUAUUAAAAUUUAAUUUUACAAAAUAUUUAGGGAGCUUGAGGUGUCUAAAGUUGUUACCUGGAUCGUACGAUGAUUGAUGCCGGGGCUAGUGAACGAGUUCUCCAGUUAGCUGUCAGGGACUCAUGACGUUGU